RNAcentral lists this long non-coding RNA (905 nucleotides) under Androctonus crassicauda. The record is from RNAcentral. Lineage: Eukaryota; Metazoa; Arthropoda; Arachnida; Scorpiones; Buthidae.
GUCUGAAAACAAAAUGGCGAUCUAGAAGUUGAUUUUAAAUUAUAAAAAUUUAUUUUGAAAUUCUUUUUAAACAUUUCGAUGGGUUAAAAAAAAAAUAAAUGAUUUUAUUUAUCGUUUAUGAAGAAAUUUCGGAGGGAAUUCCCUAGUUCUUUAGAAGGACUAAAGUACAGUGUAAAAUAAGAAUAUUAAUGGCAUAUUUGGAAUGCUUAUUGGCAUUUACUCGGGUAGACUACUACUGUGGUUUGGUCGUCCACUUGGAGAUUCAGGUGACACGAAGUAAACCUAGAAAAAUUUUUGGAUUAUUACCAAAUUAUAAAAAAAAAAAAAAAUUCCAUGAUGGUAGUUAUACUCACAGUGGGACAGUCGGUGUCACGACAAUAAUGUUAUCGACGACCCAUUUUUCGUGGCCUUUCCGAAAGUAGCCAUUGAAGUGGUUAUAACCUAUCUCGAUUUUUGAUAUAUCUUCCAAUUUUUUAGACGAAUUGACACGCUUCAUAACAGGCUUUCCCGGUAUUAAUUUACCUCGUUUCCUGAAAGAAAGUAUUGUUUAGAGAUUGUCAAAUAUAACGAAAUACAGAUUAACAUCGCGUUAAUCAUGAAAUAUCUCUUACGAAAUGCGAAAAAAAAAAUCCCCGAAUUAGCUUCCUGUUUCGAAUACCAAAAUCGGUUUAUAUAUUUAUCUCUCGUUACUAAUGCACGCAAUACAUAAAAGGGAAUUAUCUGCCACAGUCAACGUCAGAUGAUCAUAGUGGUGUGUACAAGUAUAUUCAGGGCCGGCUCAACAUAUGAUCGAGCGGAGUGCCAGCUCAAGGAGCCGAAGGAUGCUAGCACAUUUUGUGUUUUAUUAUUAUUAUUGUAAUAACGCCAAUUAUUUUUACACAUAAUUUAAACCGUCAGAUCGGAAG